CCGGCACGGGUGAGUAACACGUAUCCAACCUGCCGUCUACUCUUGGACAGCCUUCCGAAAGGAAGAUUAAUACAAGAUGGCAUCAUGAGUCCGCAUGUUCACAUGAUUAAAGGUAUUCCGGUAGACGAUGGGGAUGCGUUCCAUUAGAUAGUAGGCGGGGUAACGGCCCACCUAGUCUUCGAUGGAUAGGGGUUCUGAGAGGAAGGUCCCCCACAUUGGAACUGAGACACGGUCCAA
Molecule: ribosomal RNA, 237 nt
Filed under: uncultured bacterium
Lineage: Bacteria
Description: partial 16S ribosomal RNA
Rfam family: Bacterial small subunit ribosomal RNA
Source: RNAcentral